Molecule: ribosomal RNA, 253 nt
Filed under: uncultured bacterium
Lineage: Bacteria
Description: partial 16S ribosomal RNA
Rfam family: Bacterial small subunit ribosomal RNA
Source: RNAcentral
UACGUAUGGGGCAAGCGUUAUCCGGAUUUACUGGGUGUAAAGGGAGCGUAGGCGGCAGGGCAAGCCUGAUGUGAAAGCCCGGGGCUCAACCCCGGGACUGCAUUGGGAACUGCCCUGCUGGAGUGCCGGAGGGGCAGGCGGAAUUCCUAGUGUAGCGGUGAAAUGUGUAGAUAUUAGGAGGAACACCAGUGGCGAAGGCGGCCUGCUGGACGGUGACUGACGCUGAGGCUCGAAAGCGUGGGGAGCAAACAGG